Molecule: ribosomal RNA, 253 nt
Filed under: uncultured bacterium
Lineage: Bacteria
Description: partial 16S ribosomal RNA
Rfam family: Bacterial small subunit ribosomal RNA
Source: RNAcentral
GACGAACCGUGCGAACGUUGUUCGGAAUCACUGGGCUUAAAGGGCGCGUAGGCGGCCGGGUUGGUCGUGGGUGAAAUCCCCCAGCUUAACUGGGGAACUGCCUACGAUACUGCCUGGCUCGAGGGAGGAAGGGGCGGUCGGAACUGUCGGUGGAGCGGUGAAAUGCGUUGAUAUCGGGAGGAACACCAGUGGCGAAGGCGACUACCUGGCCUGUUCUUGACGCUGAGGCGCGAAAGCUAGGGGAGCAAACGGG